AUACUUCCUCACCCAGCACGGUCACUGAGCUGGCAAGCUAAAGUUAGCUAGUGAGUCACAGAAAUGUACGUUCAGUCUGUUAAUUAUUUCAGUCCGAUUGGACUUAUCCUACUCAAAUCAACAUGGCUCAACAUAGUUUUUUCGUUUUUUGACCUCGACAUUCUUGCUGGAUAGAUACUUUGAUAGCUAACAUGUGGGCUAAUCUCCUGUGGAUGCCUCCAUCUAGUUCCCUAGAGCAGCAGACCGGCCCUCCAUUCCCAAACCUGAAGCCCCCUGUCCCCAGCAGGAAAUACCAAGAAAAACUUCCUAUUGAGGAAAUAUCUGUCAACCAGGCUCGUGGGUGACAGGUAACCGUGUUUCCACAAUGAUGUUCCAGACCUGGAGUGGCACGCUGGAACUUCCAGAGGCUUGUAGACCUGAAGUAGUGUGAGAUCUGACACCCUUACUUCUCACAGCUGCAGUCGUCUGCUCCUGCACCUGCUACACCAGCCACGACAGGUGAUUCAGGUAAUUAUCACAUGCUUGUAUACACACAGGCAUACUCUUCCUCACUUUGGGCUCUAUUCAAUCACAUCCACUUUAGCCGACAUCCGCAUAGCAGUUGUUUUGGCGGUGUCUGAGAUGAAACUGUGUUAGAGCUGUCAAAUUCACCAGCGGCUCCUGGCAUUAUACCUAAAGCGGACAUUGCCGUUGGCUGCACAGAGUCGUAAUAACAGAAAUCUCAUGCAGCCCUGUUUACAAGUUAGACCACUGGAAUUUGAGAUGUAAUCUACACCUCAUUUCGGCUGAUAGAAAUCCUCAUUAUUUAGUUGAAUGAUUUAGAAUUUGAGCAUCAUUAUUUCUCUAUAACCUGCACUUUCUCAUUCUGAACUUGUAACGCGAGUAGGACGGAUGUAGCUUCGUGCCAGUGAUCAACAGCAGCUUCUUCCUGAUUUGACAGAUCCUACUCAGUUACGCCUCAGACACCGCCAAAACAUCAGCAAUGCGUGUGUCGGCUAUCGCCGGUUAAUGCUUAAUCUGAUUGAAUCUAGGCCUUACACUCAUUCAGUCUGUUUAGUUGUAUGAUUAUUGUCAGUUAAGAAAAUGAUGCCUCUCUUUUAGAUCUGCCACCCCCAGCAGUCCUCUGCUGUGGUAUUGAAUUUACUGGCUACACCGGUUCCUACUACAUUGGCCGUGAAGGGAGAAUCUUUUGAGGAUUCCCAGAUGGAUACAGGUCAUUUAGAAUGAUAUUACAUACACAUACGCUCACUCACACCAACAGAUGUGCACACAAACAUGUUGAACUGUAUACUUACUGUCACGUUGUGCAUCUCUCUUUCAGAUCUGCCAUGCACUCCACCACGACCCCAGACAGCCUCACCCAGAAGUGCAUGCACCGGGCCUAUCACAAAGCAGAGAUGGGUGGCUGACAAGGAAAAAUAAAACACAACAUGCACACACACUCUCUCUCUCUGUUACACACACAUUAUCCCCAAUGUAAAUCAAUUGUAAUUAUUUUAUUUUAGGAUUGGAGAUAUCUUACGCCUACAUAUCCAUUAUCAAUAGCUACAUAAUUACUCUAUACAAUCAAAGUGUGAUUGAUAAUAUUGUAAGAGAAUUGCUUAAUUGGUAGUUUGAGGAAAUUCUGUGUGCUUUUUUUCUGAGUUGAAAAACAUGCCUCCCUCUCUCUCUCACUCACACACACCCAAUGUAAAGACAUUGUUUAUUUUAUGUAUGUUCUAUUUUAUUUGAGGAUUGUGUGCAAUAAAGUACAUUCACAGUUAAA
Oncorhynchus gorbuscha (pink salmon) is the source of this 1765-nucleotide long non-coding RNA. RefSeq lists it as uncharacterized. The transcript has 4 exons. The record is from RefSeq and is a predicted model, not a curated record. Lineage: Eukaryota; Metazoa; Chordata; Actinopteri; Salmoniformes; Salmonidae.